Molecule: ribosomal RNA, 263 nt
Filed under: uncultured eukaryote
Lineage: Eukaryota
Description: partial 18S ribosomal RNA
Rfam family: Eukaryotic small subunit ribosomal RNA
Source: RNAcentral
GCUUAAUUUGACUCAACGCGGGAAACCUUACUAGGGUAGGACAUUAAUAUGAUUGACAGGCUGCGUGGCUUUUCUUGAUUUAAUGGGUGGUGGUGCAUGGCCGAUCUUAGUUGGUGGGGUGACUUGUCUGGUUAAUUCCGAUAACGAACGAGAUCCGAGCAGUUUUGUUGCUUNNUUAAUUACUUAGGUAGUUUGAAGUUCCUAAAUGGACCAUCAGAAUNAAUCUGAAGGAAGUGACGGGCUAAAUCAGGUCUGUGAUGCCC